Long non-coding RNA from Solanum tuberosum (potato), 400 nucleotides. RefSeq lists it as uncharacterized. Lineage: Eukaryota; Viridiplantae; Streptophyta; Magnoliopsida; Solanales; Solanaceae. The transcript has 3 exons. The record is from RefSeq and is a predicted model, not a curated record.
CUAAAUUUUUUUCAACAAAUUUUUUUUUGUUAAAUAGAAAAGCUCUAGAGGAGAAAAACUCUCUGCAUAUCUAGAGGAUAUCUAGACUAUGGACAAAGGAAGUUCAUCUGCUUUGUGAGGACUCCUACCAUCGGCUACACGAGUUGUGGUUGUUGCAUAUUCGCUUUCACUAUGGAGAAAAUUAUUUUGAAUCGCCUUAUUGAAAAUUCUGACUCCGCCACGGUAUAUAAUAAGGAUGUUUGAGGGGAAGGAAGACAGUGAAAAGGAGAAGGGAAAGUUGAAUGGAAGAUAUGUGAUGGAAAAAGUAUAUAGUAGGGGAUUUGGGAAGGAAAAACUAUUUGUUUCUUGUUUGGUUCAAAGAGGUACUCACUCCGUCCCAUUUUAUGUGAGAUAGUUUGAC